AAUCAAGUGAUGCGUGUCCAGAAGGCAAGU
Molecule: non-coding RNA, 30 nt
Filed under: Homo sapiens (human)
Lineage: Eukaryota; Metazoa; Chordata; Mammalia; Primates; Hominidae
Source: RNAcentral